GUGCCAGCAGCCGCGGUAAUACGUAGGGGGCGAGCGUUGUCCGGAUUCAUUGGGCGUAAAGCGCGCGUAGGCGGCUUGGCAAGUCGGCCGUGAAAUCUCCGGGCUCAACUCGGAGGGGUCGGGCGAGACUGCGAGGCUCGAGGUGGGCAGAGGGCCGUGGAAUUCCGGGUGUAGUGGUGGAAUGCGUAGAGAUCCGGAGGAACACCAGUGGCGAAGGCGGCGGCCUGGGCCUGGCCUGACGCUGAGGCGCGAAAGCGUGGGGAGCGAUCCGGAUUAGAUACCCCUGUAGUCC
RNAcentral lists this ribosomal RNA (292 nucleotides) under uncultured bacterium. RNAcentral's name for it is "partial 16S ribosomal RNA". It matches the Rfam family "Bacterial small subunit ribosomal RNA", at positions 505 to 796 of the family's 1533-position model. The record is from RNAcentral.